AGUGAACGCUGGCGGUAGGCCUAACACAUGCAAGUCGAACGGCAGCACAGUAAGAGCUUGCUCUUACGGGUGGCGAGUGGCGGACGGGUGAGGAAUACAUCGGAAUCUACUUUUUCGUGGGGGACAACGUAGGGAAACUUACGCUAAUACCGCAUACGACCUACGGGUGAAAGCAGGGGAUCUUCGGACCUUGCGCGAUUGAAUGAGCCGAUGUCGGAUUAGCUAGUUGGCGGGGUAAAGGCCCACCAAGGCGACGAUCCGUAGCUGGUCUGAGAGGAUGAUCAGCCACACUGGAACUGAGACACGGUCCAGACUCCUACGGGAGGCAGCAGUGGGGAAUAUUGGACAAUGGGCGCAAGCCUGAUCCAGCCAUACCGCGUGGGUGAAGAAGGCCUUCGGGUUGUAAAGCCCUUUUGUUGGGAAAGAAAAGCAGCAGGUUAAUACCCCGCUGUUCUGACGGUACCCAAAGAAUAGGCACCGGCUAACUUCGUG
This 492-nucleotide ribosomal RNA is filed under the name uncultured bacterium. RNAcentral describes it as "partial 16S ribosomal RNA". It matches the Rfam family "Bacterial small subunit ribosomal RNA", at positions 29 to 507 of the family's 1533-position model. The record is from RNAcentral.